This 432-nucleotide ribosomal RNA is filed under the name uncultured bacterium. RNAcentral describes it as "partial 16S ribosomal RNA". It matches the Rfam family "Bacterial small subunit ribosomal RNA", at positions 338 to 795 of the family's 1533-position model. The record is from RNAcentral.
CCUACGGGUGGCAGCAGUAAGGAAUAUUGGACAAUGGGCGAAAGCCUGAUCCAGCCAUGCCGCGUGAAUGAAGAAGGCCUUAGGGUUGUAAAGUUCUUUUAAUGAAGAUACGGUAGCCUCAGAAAAAGCUCCGGCUAACUCCGUGCCAGCAGCCGCGGUAAUACGGAGGGAGCGAGCGUUGUUCGGAAUUACUGGGCGUAAAGGGUGCGCAGGCGGCUAUGUAAGUCGGAAGUGAAAUCCCAGGGCUUAACCUUGGAAUUGCUUUCGAAACUAUGUGGCUAGAGUCUCGGAGAGGUUGGCGGAAUUCCCAGUGUAGAGGUGAAAUUCGUAGAUAUUGGGAGGAACACCAGUGGCGUAAGCGGCCAACUAGACGAGACUGACGCUCAAGCACGAAAGCGUGGGGAUCAAACAGGAUUAGAUACCCGUGUAGUC